GUGGUGGUGGCAGCAGCAGCUGCGGUGGUUCCGGGUGUCUUUGUCCCCCUGGUGUCGUGGCCCUGGCCCGCAGGUUUCCACCCAAGACCUUGAAAGGACAGCAUUCCAAAUGUCCCAGUUUAAGCGCCAGAGGAUCAACCCACUUCCAGGGGGACGGAACUUCUCAGGCGCAGCUUCAACAUCUCUUUUGGGUCCUCCUCCUGGUCUGCUUACUCCUCCUGUGGCCACAGACUUGUCCCAAAAUGCCAGGCACCUUCAGAGUGGGGAGAAGCAGCGAGUCUUCACUGGCAUUGUUACCAGCUUGCAUGACUACUUUGGGGUGGUAGAUGAAGAAGUCUUUUUUCAGCUAAGUGUGGUGAAGGGCCGACUACCCCAGCUGGGUGAGAAGGUGCUGGUGAA
Molecule: long non-coding RNA, 399 nt
Filed under: Rattus norvegicus (Norway rat)
Lineage: Eukaryota; Metazoa; Chordata; Mammalia; Rodentia; Muridae
Description: long non-coding RNA NONRATT011044
Source: RNAcentral